RNAcentral lists this ribosomal RNA (253 nucleotides) under uncultured bacterium. Its description in RNAcentral is "partial 16S ribosomal RNA". It matches the Rfam family "Bacterial small subunit ribosomal RNA", at positions 524 to 776 of the family's 1533-position model. The record is from RNAcentral.
UACGGAGGAUGCGAGCGUUAUCCGGAUUUAUUGGGUUUAAAGGGAGCGCAGACGGGUCGUUAAGUCAGCUGUGAAAGUUUGGGGCUCAACCUUAAAAUUGCAGUUGAUACUGGCGUCCUUGAGUGCGGUUGAGGUGUGCGGAAUUCGUGGUGUAGCGGUGAAAUGCUUAGAUAUCACGAAGAACUCCGAUUGCGAAGGCAGCACACUAAGCCGUAACUGACGUUCAUGCUCGAAAGUGUGAGUAUCAAACAGG